ACGGGUGAGGAACACGUAGGAAUCUACCCAGAAGAGGGGGAUAACCAAGGGAAACUUUGGCUAAUACCGCAUAAUCUCGAGAGAGAAAAGCUGCCCGCAAGGGUGGCGCUUUUGGAGGAGCCUGCGUCCGAUUAGCUAGUUGGUAGGGUAAAGGCCUACCAAGGCGAUGAUCGGUAACUGGUCUGAGAGGACGACCAGUCACACUGGGACUGAGACACGGCCCAGACUCCUACGGGAGGCAGCAGUGGGGAAUAUUGGACAAUGGGGGAAACCCUGAUCCAGCGAUGCCGCGUGAGUGAAGAAGGCCUUCGGGUCGUAAAGCUCUUUAGGUUGGGAAGAAGGUUGUUAGGGUAAUAUCCUAGCAAUUUGACGGUACCGACAGAAUAAGCACCGGCAAACUCUGUGCCAGCAGCCGCGGUAAUACAGAGGGUGCGAGCGUUAAUCGGAUUUACUGGGCGUAAAGGGUGCGUAGGCGGUUCUAUGAGUGUGAUGUGAAAGCCCUGGGCUCAACCUAGGAAGUGCAUCGCAAACGAUAGAACUGGAGUAUGUGAGAGGGUGGCGGAAUUUCCGGUGUA
This 575-nucleotide ribosomal RNA is filed under the name uncultured bacterium. Its description in RNAcentral is "bacterial SSU rRNA". It matches the Rfam family "Bacterial small subunit ribosomal RNA", at positions 102 to 677 of the family's 1533-position model. The record is from RNAcentral.